UUCUCAGUAGCUGAAUGGAUAACGCUAUGGCUUUUGAAGCGAAAGGUACUGGGUUCGAGUCUCAGAGUGAA
This 71-nucleotide transfer RNA is filed under the name Schistosoma mansoni. Lineage: Eukaryota; Metazoa; Platyhelminthes; Trematoda; Strigeidida; Schistosomatidae. The record is from RNAcentral.